UCGGGCAACCGAGUUGUAAUUUGGAGACGGGACACUAGAGAGGAGGAAGGCGAUUAAGUGCCUUGGAACAGGCUGCCGUAGAGGGUGAGAGCCCCGUGAAUCGCUGGAGACCGAUCAAUUAGUGCCCGCCGAAGAGUCGAGUUGUUUGGGAAUGCAGCUCUAAGUGGGUGGUAUAUUCCAUCUAAGGCUAAAUAUUAGCGAGAGACCGAUAGCAAACAAGUACAGUGAUGGAAAGAUGAAAAGAACUUUGGAAAGAGAGUGAAAUAGUACGUGAAAUUGUUGAAAGGGAAGGGUAUUUGAUCCGACAUGGUGUUUAGCAGCGGCCCGUUCCUCGUGGAUGGGUGCACCUGGUUUACACUGGGCCAGCAUCGGUUCUGGGAGCCAUAUACGGGGUUCGUGAAUGUGGCCCUUCGAUUCUGUCGGAGGGUGUUAUAGCGC
This 438-nucleotide ribosomal RNA is filed under the name uncultured Dekkera. RNAcentral describes it as "eukaryotic LSU rRNA". It matches the Rfam family "Eukaryotic large subunit ribosomal RNA", at positions 130 to 572 of the family's 3401-position model. The record is from RNAcentral. Lineage: Eukaryota; Fungi; Ascomycota; Saccharomycetes; Saccharomycetales; Saccharomycetaceae.